UUACAGGUGAGGGACGCCAGCCAGCAAGGGAGGUGCUCGAGGUGGGGGCGGAGCCAGAUGUGUCUCACAUACCUGGCACCUGCAGAUUCCAGGACGGCCAGGAAGGGGUUUCAAAUCCCUUAUGUAAUUUAUGUGAUUACUCGGAGGGAAGCCUAGUGAUUGUGGUUUUCACAGUGUGGAUGUGGGAGCUGGGAGCAGAGAGGUAUUUGAUGGAGACAGCCCUUGCGGGGGGUGGGGGGGUGGCAGAGGCCUGGGGCACCAGCAUGUCCCCAGGGAGAGCAGGGCUAGAAGCCUUUCCGCCUGCCUGGCUCCUCUCCCCAUCCUGGGUGGGAUGUGGGGACCGUGGGGGAUGUCACUGUGCGGGGAAGGGGGGGAGGGGCCAUGGUGCCCCAGGCCGGAAGGACAGAGGAAGAGAGGCUGAACCACAGCUGAACCUUCAUCCUCCUGUCUGUCCUCCCAGAGGCCCCGCGGGCAGCCCUCUAAGUAGCACCCCCCACCUCCAUCCCCGCAGAGGAAGGGAGGCCCUCAGGGAAGAAAGAAACUCUCUGGAAACCUUGCCUGUGAAACUCAGCCUUUGUUGCAGAAACUCGACCCCAGCCUGGGCUAAAUGCGGCUACCCUGGGCUCUGGGUAAGCCGGACCCAGGCCCGAGUCUGUCCUUCACUGAGCACAGUGAGCUGAGCCCAGUCCCCGAGUAGGAGGACCCAAGAGAGCUGCGGGGACAUCCAGCUGGUCCAGCCACCUCCUUGCAUGUGGGCAGGUCACUGGAAGGUGUGGCUGAGACAGAGAGCCCUGCUCUGAGCUGAUGCCCGUCAUCCCAGGAGCCAUUAUGAGAAUCUCCGGGCCCCAGACUCCUGAGCAGCAGGGUCCUAAGAGUCACCGGCUUGACGCUGGCUCCUCGCAGGGAGGAAGGUGGUUUCCAGCGACGUCGUGUGCUCGCCCAGUGCCACACAGCACAUGAGGGCAGAGCUGUGUCCAACAUCCCCCGAUCUCUCCACCUCCUGCAAAGACCCUCGAAGCUUCUCAGGAGCUUGGGUGUGAGCGGCGAAUAGGAUCUCCAACUUCCAGGCAGGAAUCUAGGACUAAUCCUGAUGGAUUAGCAAAGUCAUCCUAUUGCAGAGACCCCCGAUGCCCCACCUAGUUCAGACCCUUGGACUCUAGGACACUGAAAUUCUCUCCAAAAUGUGAACAAUGAAGAUGUGCUUGGGAACCAGGAAAGGCUGAGCAGCUGAUGACCAUUUGGGUUUUGUGGCCUCCUUUUCAAAAGGAAAUAAAUACGGCAGAAAUGCUCUUCACAGAAGGGGCUUCAGGAUUUCAUAAAUAGACCAUAAAGAGGCAACAGAAGAACCAGCACAGCCCCAAAUCAACAUCUGUCCCCUGUCAUCUGGCUCUCCCUCCAUCAUCACCAUUCUCUCUCUCAAGAGCGAAACAAGCAUUCUUGUCUUUUGGAAAGAGAACCAUCUUCUCCCCGCCCAGACCUGCUUGGCAUCUUCCAAAGGUGGAGGAGCGUGCAUCCAAUAGGUGGGAUGGUGAGACCUGAUCUCCAUCAGUGGGCAGGGCUAAUAUUGCACAUGGUUCUAAAAGUCAGGAUGCUUUUGGCAGCGAGUAACAGAACUUCCAACUAAAGGCGUCUUACACCUUUGUGGCCCAAAGCGGGGUCCAUGGAUCCAUAGCAUGAGCAUCUGCAGCCUGCAGGAAUUUGGAAUCUUAGGUUCUACCUCGGACUUACUGAAUAAGAGUCUGCGCUUGCAGUAGAGCCCCAGGUGAUUCAUAUGCAUGUGAAAGUCUUCGAAGUACUAGUUUAAAUGAAAAAGGCUUUUUUUUGUGUGUGUGAACUUUAAAAGAAGCCCACAAAAAACAAUUCCAAUUUGGUUAACUCAUGAGUGCAAAGAUGUCAGGCCUCUAUCUCUGCAUCUUGGAGAUUUUUUUGGCUUCUGCCUCAGGGUUUCAAGAUGGCUGCUAUGGCUCCAACAUCAUCAAACCAAGUCCAAAACAAAUGAAAGGAAUAGGUGCUGGAGAAUUUUUCUUAUGUGUACCUUGGAAAAAGCUUUCCCAGAAAUCUCUAGUUCAUGUUCUUUGAGAUCCUAUUGGCUAGAAGUGGCUGGCAGGCCCACUCUUAAACCAGUCGCAAGUGAUGGGGAGUAGGUUUACUGGGAUCGGCCUUUGAACCACUGACCAAUCAAGUGUCUCCUCUUAGGGAUGGGAUAGGGCCACCUUCUUCCAUCACAUCAUCAUGUACCAGAGACUUGACAUGUGCUGUCUUACAACCAAUGAAUCAGAUAUGAGUGCCGGCUUAUCUGGGAUUAGGAAACUGAAAGCCAAAGGGUUUCUGUGUCCUGCACACAUUCAGAGCAAGCAGAAGCAGAGCCAGCUUUGUGCCAAGGGGCUUGAAUCCAGGGGCAGAGCUCAUCCCACGAUGCUCGCACCAGGACCACGGUCCCCUUGAGUGAACUUGCAGGAAACAAAGGCAUUUCCCGUGUUCACUUGUGUCCAACGCUGCCUUGACUACUUAGCACAAAACCUUUAUUAAGUUAGGGCUGCUUAGCGUAAUGCUCCUUUGCUCCGGCACCCCCGCAGUGAUCAG
This 2583-nucleotide long non-coding RNA is filed under the name Sus scrofa (pig). RNAcentral's name for it is "lncRNA (ENSSSCG00040067018.1)". The record is from RNAcentral. Lineage: Eukaryota; Metazoa; Chordata; Mammalia; Artiodactyla; Suidae.